GUUUAAGCGUGUAGGCUGGUUUUCCAGGCAAAUCCGGAAAAUCAAGGCUGAGGCGUGAUGACGAGGCACUACGGUGCUGAAGCAACAAAUGCCCUGCUUCCAGGAAAAGCCUCUAAGCAUCAGGUAACAUCAAAUCGUACCCCAAACCGACACAGGUGGUCAGGUAGAGAAUACCAAGGCGCUUGAGAGAACUCGGGUGAAGGAACUAGGCAAAAUGGUGCCGUAACUUCGGGAGAAGGCACGCUGAUAUGUAGGUGAAGUCCCUCGCGGAUGGAGCUGAAAUCAGUCGAAGAUACCAGCUGGCUGCAACUGUUUAUUAAAAACACAGCACUGUGCAAACACGAAAGUGGACGUAUACGGUGUGACGCCUGCCCGGUGCCGGAAGGUUAAUUGAUGGGGUCAGCGCAAGCGAAGCUCUUGAUCGAAGCCCCGGUAAACGGCGGCCGUAACUAUAACGGUCCUAAGGUAGCGAAAUUCCUUGUCGGGUAAGUUCCGACCUGCACGAAUGGCGUAAUGAUGGCCAGGCUGUCUCCACCCGAGACUCAGUGAAAUUGAACUCGCUGUGAAGAUGCAGUGUACCCGCGGCAAGACGGAAAGACCCCGUGAACCUUUACUAUAGCUUGACACUGAACAUUGAGCCUUGAUGUGUAGGAUAGGUGGGAGGCUUUGAAGUGUGGACGCCAGUCUGCAUGGAGCCGACCUUGAAAUACCACCCUUUAAUGUUUGAUGUUCUAACGUGGACCCGUGAUCCGGGUUGCGGACAGUGUCUGGUGGGUAGUUUGACUGGGGCGGUCUCCUCCUAAAGAGUAACGGAGGAGCACGAAGGUUGGCUAAUCCUGGUCGGACAUCAGGAGGUUAGUGCAAUGGCAUAAGCCAGCUUGACUGCGAGCGUGACGGCGCGAGCAGGUGCGAAAGCAGGUCAUAGUGAUCCGGUGGUUCUGAAUGGAAGGGCCAUCGCUCAACGGAUAAAAGGUACUCCGGGGAUAACAGGCUGAUACCGCCCAAGAGUUCAUAUCGACGGCGGUGUUUGGCACCUCGAUGUCGGCUCAUCACAUCCUGGGGCUGAAGUAGGUCCCAAGGGUAUGGCUGUUCGCCAUUUAAAGUGGUACGCGAGCUGGGUUUAGAACGUCGUGAGACAGUUCGGUCCCUAUCUGCCGUGGGCGCUGGAGAACUGAGGGGGGCUGCUCCUAGUACGAGAGGACCGGAGUGGACGCAUCACUGGUGUUCGGGUUGUCAUGCCAAUGGCACUGCCCGGUAGCUAAAUGCGGAAGAGAUAAGUGCUGAAAGCAUCUAAGCACGAAACUUGCCCCGAGAUGAGUUCUCCCUGACCCUUUAAGGGUCCUGAAGGAACGUUGAAGACGACGACGUUGAUAGGCCGGGUGUGUAAGCGCAGCGAUGCGUUGAGCUAACCGGUACUAAUGAACCGUGAGGCUUAACCUUACAACGCCGAAGGUGUUU
Molecule: ribosomal RNA, 1458 nt
Filed under: Escherichia coli
Lineage: Bacteria; Pseudomonadati; Pseudomonadota; Gammaproteobacteria; Enterobacterales; Enterobacteriaceae
Description: partial 23S ribosomal RNA
Rfam family: Bacterial large subunit ribosomal RNA
Source: RNAcentral